CGAUCUCUAGUGCGAUAGGGAGGCUAUUCCCAUGAUCACUGGCAAGCAGGCUAAGGGAGCUUAGCCUGCUUUCCAGGGAUUGUGGAAACCACAGGGCUCACAGGCACUGGGAUCACAGCUCUCACUUUCAUCCCAGGGAAGGGGGAAAACAAUCUUCAAAAGGGAACUAGUCUUGCCCAGACCCCAGGGGCUGAAUCCUGCCAGCAGGUUUCUAAAAGUGGACUGCUAGGUUUGUCAAUUAAGUGUUCUGUCAGAUAUGCUCCUGCUGUGCACUGAAAUGCAGCCAGCCAUGCUGGAGCAUUAUCCGUCUUAAACAGGACAUGAACAACAACAACAAGGAAAAAGCCAAACUAAGAGAAUGAUUCUACCUUGAAAGACAAUGCCACAUAAAUGUGUCUCUCCGCAUCUGCAGUUUGGCGACAGCAACAAAGAAAUGUAAAACAAGAUUCCUGAAACUGGUAUGGCUGCAGCCCUCUCUUGAAACCACUUUCUUCAAAGAUAUCCUAUUGGCUUCAAGGGCACCAGCAUUCAGCAAGUGGUUUGAGGACUGCAGAAAGUAAGGACUUUCACACAACCAAGAACCUGAAGGAAUGUCUGCAGAUGCUCUGCAUAUGAACAGCUUGCGAGCAUUGUCCUCUGCUUUGUAAAGACUCCAUCAAUGCACCCAAGAGACAGACAUAAGUGUCUUGAAUCACCAUGAACUAAUGUAGAGAUGCAAUUAUUUUAAA
Long non-coding RNA from Hemicordylus capensis (graceful crag lizard), 728 nucleotides. RefSeq lists it as uncharacterized. The record is from RefSeq and is a predicted model, not a curated record. Lineage: Eukaryota; Metazoa; Chordata; Lepidosauria; Squamata; Cordylidae. The transcript has 7 exons.